AACGAACGCUGGCGGCAUGCCUAACACAUGCAAGUCGAACGAGACCUUCGGGUCUAGUGGCGCACGGGUGCGUAACGCGUGGGAACCUGCCCUUAGGUUCGGAAUAACUCCCCGAAAGGGGUGCUAAUACCGGAUAAUGUCUUCGGACCAAAGAUUUAUCGCCUUUGGAUGGGCCCGCGUUGGAUUAGCUAGUUGGUAGGGUAAAAGCCUACCAAGGCGACGAUCCAUAGCUGGUCUGAGAGGAUGAUCAGCCACACUGGGACUGAGACACGGCCCAGACUCGUACGGGAGGCAGCAGUGGGGAAUAUUGGACAAUGGGCGAAAGCCUGAGCCAGCAAUGCCGCGUGAGUGAUGAAGGCCUUAGGGUUGUAAAGCUCUUUUACCCGGGAUGAUAAUGACAGUACCGGGAGAAUAAGCUCCGGCUAACUCCGUG
RNAcentral lists this ribosomal RNA (433 nucleotides) under uncultured bacterium. RNAcentral's name for it is "partial 16S ribosomal RNA". It matches the Rfam family "Bacterial small subunit ribosomal RNA", at positions 29 to 507 of the family's 1533-position model. The record is from RNAcentral.